This 253-nucleotide ribosomal RNA is filed under the name uncultured bacterium. RNAcentral describes it as "partial 16S ribosomal RNA". It matches the Rfam family "Bacterial small subunit ribosomal RNA", at positions 524 to 776 of the family's 1533-position model. The record is from RNAcentral.
UACGUAGGCAGCGAGCGUUGUUCGGAGUUACUGGGCGUAAAGCGUGCGUAGGCGGUGUCUUAAGUUUGUUGUGAAAUCUCCCGGCUCAACUGGGAGGGUGCGCCGAAUACUGAAUGACUAGAGUGCGGGAGAGGAAAGUGGAAUUCCUGGUGUAGCGGUGAAAUGCGUAGAUAUCAGGAGGAACACCGGUGGUGUAGACGGCUUUCUGGACCGUAACUGACGCUGAGACACGAAAGCGUGGGUAGCAAACAGG